Molecule: ribosomal RNA, 405 nt
Filed under: uncultured bacterium
Lineage: Bacteria
Description: partial 16S ribosomal RNA
Rfam family: Bacterial small subunit ribosomal RNA
Source: RNAcentral
AUUGAACGCUGGCGGCCGGCUUAACACAUGCAAGUCGAACGAGUGGCGGACGGGUGAGUAGUGCUUGGGAAUCUGGCUUAUCGAGGGGGAUAACGACGCGAAACUGUCGCUAAUUACGCGUACUAUAGGAUGCGCCCAAGGGGGAUUCGGUAGUUGGUGGGGGAGUGGCCUACCACGCCGACGACCGCUAGCUGGUCUGAGAGGAUGACCCGCCACACCGGGACUGAGACACGGCCCGGACUCCUACGCGAGGCAGCAGUGGGGAAUAUUGCGCAAUGGGGGCAACCUGACGCAGCCAUGCCGCGUGAAUGAAGAAGGCCUUCGGGUUGUAAAGUUCUUUCGGUGACGAGGCGUUAAUCACAGAAGAAGCACCGGCUAACUCCGUGCCAGCCGCCGCGGUAAUUC